UGGGGAAUAUUGCACAAUGGGCGCAAGCCUGAUGCAGCCAUGCCGCGUGUAUGAAGAAGGCCUUCGGGUUGUAAAGUACUUUCAGCGGGGAGGAAGGUGUUGAGGCUAAUAACCUCAGCAAUUGACGUUACCCGCAGAAGAAGCACCGGCUAACUCCGUGCCAGCAGCCGCGGUAAUACGAAGGGUGCAAGCGUUAAUCGGAAUUACUGGGCGUAAAGCGCACGCAGGCGGUCUGUCAAGUCGGAUGUGAAAUCCCCGGGCUCAACCUGGGAACUGCAUUCGAAACUGGCAGGCUAGAGUCUUGUAGAGGGGGGUAGAAUUCCAGGUGUAGCGGUGAAAUGCGUAGAGAUCUGGAGGAAUACCGGUGGCGAAGGCGGCCCCCUGGACAAAGACUGACGCUCAGGUGCGAAAGCGUGGGGAGCAAACA
RNAcentral lists this ribosomal RNA (427 nucleotides) under uncultured bacterium. RNAcentral's name for it is "partial 16S ribosomal RNA". It matches the Rfam family "Bacterial small subunit ribosomal RNA", at positions 355 to 774 of the family's 1533-position model. The record is from RNAcentral.